GAUGAACGCUGGCGGCGUGCCUAACACAUGCAAGUCGAACGGAGUUUUUAGAGGAAGCCUUUCAGGGUGGAACCUUUGAACUUAGUGGCGGACGGGUGAGUAACGCGUGAGCAAUCUGCCUUCAAGAGGGGGACAACAGCUGGAAACGGCUGCUAAUACCGCAUAACAUAUAUUUGUGGCAUCACAGAUAUAUCAAAGGAGAAAUCCGCUUGAAGAUGAGCUCGCGUCCCAUUAGCUAGUUGG
This 243-nucleotide ribosomal RNA is filed under the name uncultured bacterium. RNAcentral's name for it is "partial 16S ribosomal RNA". It matches the Rfam family "Bacterial small subunit ribosomal RNA", at positions 28 to 252 of the family's 1533-position model. The record is from RNAcentral.